Macadamia integrifolia is the source of this 85-nucleotide small nucleolar RNA. RefSeq annotates it as small nucleolar RNA SNORD25. The transcript has a single exon. NCBI's taxonomy places the organism in Eukaryota, Viridiplantae, Streptophyta, Magnoliopsida, Proteales, Proteaceae. The record is from RefSeq and is a predicted model, not a curated record.
AACAACGAUGAUGAGUAAUGCAGACCUGUAAUGAUUUGCGAAAAUGAUCGCAAACUGUAAUGAACAUCUAAGGGACUGAGUUGUU